RNAcentral lists this long non-coding RNA (456 nucleotides) under Rattus norvegicus (Norway rat). RNAcentral describes it as "long non-coding RNA NONRATT017576". The record is from RNAcentral. Lineage: Eukaryota; Metazoa; Chordata; Mammalia; Rodentia; Muridae.
AGCUUUUGGACUGCUGAAAGCCCAACAGGAAGAGAGGUUGGAUGGGAUCAACAAGCACUUCCUCGAUGAUCCCAAGUACAGCAGUGAUGAGGAUCUGCAGUCCAAACUGGAGGCCUUCAAGAGUGAGGAGACUGGGGGGGGGGAGCUGGAGGCUGGGGGCUCAAAUCGUGGCAAGGCUGGCUGGCUGUCCUGCGGAAGGAGGGAGGUGCCUUCAAGCUCCUCCUUCCCAUUGGUGGUCCUUUGUCCUGCUCUCCCCAUCUUAGCAUCCCCGCCCCCAGGCUCCCUCACAAGCCUCUCUCCCCAUGCCCUCCUUCUGUAUCUUCUACCCUGGCAUUGCUCAGCUGUCUCUACCGCAAACCCCCACAAUAGCAAUUAUACUCUCUGCUCUCUUUCUCACCCAGCGAAGUACAUGGAGUUUGAUCUGAAUGGCAAUGGAGAUAUCGAUAUUAUGUCCUU